RNAcentral lists this ribosomal RNA (305 nucleotides) under uncultured bacterium. Its description in RNAcentral is "bacterial SSU rRNA". It matches the Rfam family "Bacterial small subunit ribosomal RNA", at positions 333 to 652 of the family's 1533-position model. The record is from RNAcentral.
UUUGUCCUACGGGAGGCAGCAGUGGGGAAUAUUGGGCAAUGGGCGCAAGCCUGACCCAGCAACGCCGCGUGAAGGAAGAAGGCUUUCGGGUUGUAAACUUCUUUUCUCAGGGACGAAGCAAGUGACGGUACCUGAGGAAUAAGCCACGGCUAACUACGUGCCAGCAGCCGCGGUAAUACGUAGGUGGCAAGCGUUAUCCGGAUUUACUGGGUGUAAAGGGCGUGUAGGCGGGGACGCAAGUCAGAUGUGAAAACCACGGGCUCAACCUGUGGCCUGCAUUUGAAACUGUGUUUCUUGAGUACUGG